This 2421-nucleotide ribosomal RNA is filed under the name Triticum aestivum (bread wheat). Its description in RNAcentral is "partial small subunit ribosomal RNA". The record is from RNAcentral. Lineage: Eukaryota; Viridiplantae; Streptophyta; Magnoliopsida; Poales; Poaceae.
AUGGGGCGGAGCUCGGGGGGAGAGGGAGGAGGAGGGGAGGGGCAAGGGGAGGCGGAUGGCGGCGGAAUCGCAGACUGCUCGCCGGGGACCAUCGUCUGGGUGCGGCGGCGGAACGGGUCCUGGUGGCCCGGGAGGAUAGUCGGGCAGGACGAGCUCGCGGCGUCGCAGGUGGUGACGCCCAGGACGGGAACUCCGGUCAAGCUGCUCGGCCGCGAGGAUGCUAGCAUUGACUGGUAUAACCUGGAGAAAUCGAAACGUGUCAAGGAAUUUAGGUGUGGAGAGUUUGAUGCUUGUAUUGAGAAGGCAAUGGCUUGUCAAGGAACUCCUGUAAAGAGAAGAGAAAAAUAUGCUCGUAGAGAAGAUGCUAUUAUUCAUGCUCUUGAAUUGGAAAGAAAGCAGCUUGCAUUGAAGUACCAGAACCAAGGUUUCAGGGCAGAUGACAGCUGCAGUAUCCUCUUUGCUGACACAGGGAGGGAGUUUGACGACUUUCCUUCAGAAUAUUACUCAAGAAACAACGUCCAGGAACCUCAGUUGCAUUUGCAAAGCUCAGCAUCUCAGCAACGCGUAGAUCUCAGCACUACUCGUUAUAAAAGCAAAAAGAGUAAAAAACAGAAAGGGGAUACCUCUGUUCGCCUUGGACAUACGCAAGAAGGAUCAAAUGUAGAGAGCGGUGAGAAAAAUACAGCCCUGAAAAAGAGAAGAUUAGAGGAAGCUAUUUUUGAGGCAUCUGUUGUCAAAAAACAUGAUAGAUGCAGGCCACUUGCUCAAGUUGUACAGAGUAGCGUCAAAUUUCCUCGCUCUUUUCAGUGCAAUGAUGAUUCUGGAACUGUUGUAGUUGAAGGAGGGAAGGAUCCUUUGCCUGCUAUCUGUCAGGCGAAAAGAAGUGGUGCCACAUACCUGUCUGCUGAUUCUGGUGAUGCACAUAGCCGUGACUUCAUACCUGUUAAGCAAACAAUAUUAACAGAAGCUCAUCAUGAGACAGAAAGUUACCUAAAGCAGGAGGAUACUCUUCUCGAAGAGCAAACAUUUCCGGGCUUUGUUGAGAAGCAAGAAUCUGAUUCUUCAAUGAGUUUAUGUUCAGAUACUGAGACAGAAGAUGACGCUGAACUUCUGCAAAGGUAUGCUAAGGUACAAUCCCCUGAAUCAGAUGCAUGUGAUCCUAAUUCCCUCAAGGCUUCUAAUAAGUCAAGGCAUGCAAAUGAUAUUGAUGACGAUGAUGAGAUGAACUUUUCUACUCAUAUUCCUCAGCAAAAUGUCUUACUAGGUGAGGAUGGUUCUCCUGAGUUAGGUGUUUCCCAGUGGCAUAUGAAAGGUAAACGCAACCGGCGCACUGCAGUAAAGAGAUCAAUGGGGAAGGCGGAUGAAAAUCUGUCAUUAGAUAGCUCAAGUAGUUUCAUGAAGGGGCUGCUCAAAAUGGCCAAUAAAGGUGACUCUAAAGUUGAGAUUAUUGAUGCGUCUAGCCAUCAGCCGUUUGGUCAAAGUUUUCCUGAGAACCAAGAAGGGUUGGAUUGUGAUCAUGAUGAAGCAGAUUUGGUUGACAAGGCCGCGAGUCAUUCAGGAGUUAACAGAUACCAUGGUAAAGAUUAUCCCUUAUCUUCAGAACCUGUCAGAGAUAUUGGACGAAGUUACACUUCUUUCAACAACUCUGAAAUUUCUUGCAAGACCUCUUUGCUAAAUAAAAAUGGCAAUCAGAUAACCUCUAUUGAUCAGAAGGCAUGUGGGGACGGAUCUUCAUUGUAUCAACAAAAUCAUGGCUCACAUCUUGGUUACACUGGGCAGGUGUUGUUUAAUGUUGACCUGAAGGUACAGGCUAACUAUCAAGGUGAGCAUGUCCCAUUGGUUUCUUUGAUGAGCAGACUGGAUGGCAAAGCUAUUGUUGGACACCCUAUCCAAGUUGGAAUUCUUGAAGAAGGUUCAAUGGACAGGCUUAUUUUGGGCAGUGAUCUUGUUCUGGAAAAUAGCACAGCAGCACCACCUGCUUGGCCGACAGGCAGAAGGACUGUUAUGCCAAGAGUCCCACGUUUGAAUCCAUCACGAGCAACCUUAGAUGGCAAUGCCACCGAUGAGCAGGGGGUCAAGCAUGCAAAGAAAAGCACCACCAGUGUCCGGAGGCCAUUUUCGCAGAAAUCUCAAAAGAAGCCCUCUGGCUUCAAGAAAGCAAGCUCACCAAGCCAGAAAACCAGACCCCUUUCAUCCAUUUCCAUUGGGAAAAAGUCUCACAGAGAAGGUGGCCAGGCAAAGGCACAUAGGCGCAGCGAUGUUCUGGGUGGUCUAUUGAAAUCAGAAGGAGCAAUUCCGCUGGUCACAUGUGUCCCCGCAAAGGUUGUGUUCAGUAGGAUAAUGGAAGCAGUUGGCAGGCCGUCCCAUGCUCUUGCUCACCGUGCUAGAAAGGCCAGUCCCGCGGUACGGGAUCCACCGUAG